RNAcentral lists this ribosomal RNA (253 nucleotides) under uncultured bacterium. Its description in RNAcentral is "partial 16S ribosomal RNA". It matches the Rfam family "Bacterial small subunit ribosomal RNA", at positions 524 to 776 of the family's 1533-position model. The record is from RNAcentral.
UGCGUAGGGUGCGAGCGUUAAUCGGAAUUACUGGGCGUAAAGCGAGCGCAGACGGUUUGUUAAGCAGGAUGUGAAAUCCCCGGGCUUAACCUGGGAAUAGCAUUUCAGACUGGGAGUCUAGAGUACUUUAGGGAGGGGUAGAAUUCCACGUGUAGCGGUGAAAUGCGUAGAGAUGUGGAGGAAUACCGAAGGCGAAGGCAGCCCCUUGGGAAUGUACUGACGCUCAUGUGCGAAAGCGUGGGGAGCAAACAGG